GUGGGGAAUAUUGGACAAUGGGCGAAAGCCUGAUCCAGCCAUGCCGCGUGUGUGAAGAAGGUCUUCGGAUUGUAAAGCACUUUAAGUUGGGAGGAAGGGCAGUAAGUUAAUACCUUGCUGUUUUGACGUUACCGACAGAAUAAGCACCGGCUAACUUCGUGCCAGCAGCCGCGGUAAUACGAAGGGUGCAAGCGUUAAUCGGAAUUACUGGGAGUAAAGCGCGCGUAGGUGGUUUUGUAAGUUGGAGGUGAAAUCCCCGGGCUCAACCUGGGAGCUGCCUCCAAAACUGCAUGACUAGAGUACGGUAGAGGGUAGUGGAAUUUCCUGUGUAGCGGUGAAAUGCGUAGAUAUAGGAAGGAACACCAGUGGCGAAGGCGACUACCUGGACUGAUACUGACACUGAGGUGCGAAAGCGUGGGGAGCAAACAGGAUUAGAUACCCGGGUAGUCC
RNAcentral lists this ribosomal RNA (450 nucleotides) under uncultured bacterium. RNAcentral's name for it is "partial 16S ribosomal RNA". It matches the Rfam family "Bacterial small subunit ribosomal RNA", at positions 354 to 796 of the family's 1533-position model. The record is from RNAcentral.